This 576-nucleotide ribosomal RNA is filed under the name uncultured Gammaproteobacteria bacterium. RNAcentral describes it as "bacterial SSU rRNA". It matches the Rfam family "Bacterial small subunit ribosomal RNA", at positions 315 to 883 of the family's 1533-position model. The record is from RNAcentral. Lineage: Bacteria; Pseudomonadati; Pseudomonadota; Gammaproteobacteria.
GGGGCGGGGCCACGGGGGCCUUACGGGAGGCACCAGUGGGGAAUUUUGGACAAUGGGCGGAAGCCUAUUCCACCCAUGCCGCGUGUGUGAAGAAGCCCUUAGGGUUGUAAAGCACUUUCAGGGGUGAGGAAGGGUAACUGGUUUAAUAUCCAGUUAUCUUGACGUUACCCCCAGAAGAAGCCCCGGCUAAUUCUGUGCCAGCAGCCGCGGUAAUACAGAGGGUGCAAGCGUUAUUCGGAAUUACUGGGCGUAAAGCGCGCGUAGGUGGUUUGUUAAGUCGGAUGUGAAAUCCCAGGGUUCACCCUGGGAAUGGCACCCGAUACUGGCUAGCUAGAGUAUGGUAGAGGGGUGUGGAAUUUCCUGUGUAGCGGUGAAAUGCGUAGAUAUAGGAAGGAACAUCAGUGGCGAAGGCGACACCCUGGACUAAUACUGACAUUGAGGUGCGAAAGGCGUGGGGAGCAACCAGGAUUAGAUACCCCUGGUAGUCCACCCCCGUAAACGAUGUCUACUAGCCGUUGGGUUGUAAUGACCUUAGUGGCGCAGCUAACGCAAUAAGUAGACCCGCCUGGAGACGCA